RNAcentral lists this ribosomal RNA (254 nucleotides) under uncultured bacterium. Its description in RNAcentral is "partial 16S ribosomal RNA". It matches the Rfam family "Bacterial small subunit ribosomal RNA", at positions 524 to 776 of the family's 1533-position model. The record is from RNAcentral.
UACGUAGGCAGCGAGCGUUGUUCGGAAUUACUGGGCGUAAAGAGUGUGUAGGCGGUGUUCCCAGUCUGUUGUGAAAUCUCCCGGCUUAACUGGGAGGGUGCAGCGGAAACUAGAAUGCUAGAGGGUGGGAGAGGUAAGCGGAAUUCCUGGUGUAGCGGUGAAAAUGCGUAGAUAUCAGGAGGAACACCUGUGGUGUAGACAGCUUACUGGACCACUUCUGACGCUGAGACACGAAAGCGUGGGUAGCAAACAGG